UGUGUGCUGCAGACAGGGAUGGGAUAG
Molecule: non-coding RNA, 27 nt
Filed under: Mus musculus (house mouse)
Lineage: Eukaryota; Metazoa; Chordata; Mammalia; Rodentia; Muridae
Source: RNAcentral